RNAcentral lists this non-coding RNA (202 nucleotides) under human gut metagenome. RNAcentral describes it as "raiA RNA". It matches the Rfam family "raiA RNA". RNAcentral also lists the same sequence under 2 other names. The record is from RNAcentral.
GUCCGCGUCCGUGGUUGCAAGUCGAUGCCAGACGCAGGCGAAACGAUCCACGUAAACCGUGCAAAGUCGCGGCGAGCAUGGUGCGUCCUAGAAGUAAGUCCGGCCGGCCCAACGCGGCCGAGAGGGGUAGUAGUGGGGAGCAGACGCUUAGGAGCGAACCCCCCAGCCGGCGGAUGUGGGGGCAAAGACCAGGUCGGGCGGA